This is a long non-coding RNA of Myotis lucifugus (little brown bat), 1093 nucleotides long. RefSeq lists it as uncharacterized. NCBI's taxonomy places the organism in Eukaryota, Metazoa, Chordata, Mammalia, Chiroptera, Vespertilionidae. The record is from RefSeq and is a predicted model, not a curated record. The transcript has 2 exons.
CAUACCCGUGAACAGGCGCUGGUUUGGAGAAGGGUCCAUUCUUUUGAACGGCAACUUGGUUUUUUUCCGCUCUGGACUUUGCAAACACCCCCCUUCCCGGGAUAAACGGUCUCGGUAAUUUGAAGUUUUGAGACUAGAUCUGUGACUUGAUGUUAUGCACUUUUUAAAAAACCCACCAAUGUUGCCUUUUUUAAAAAAAAAGGGGGGGGGGACUUUUUUAACACUGAAACUUGAAGCAUAGACAUGAAAUCUCAGCGGGGAAAAAAAAAAAGUCAGUGCUUAUCGGUCGCGAGGAUUCCUCUGUGAACCCGCCCUCAUCCUCGAGGGGACGGGAGUCCAUCCCCUUAUCCCUGCGCCUGGCACAGGGUGGACUCAGGGAAUGUCGGCUGAGUGAGGAAUGAGAGGCGCUCACCCUAGCCACCUGGUUCUCUAAGUGGCCGUGCGAGGAGUCCAUUUGAAAUCGUUAAAAGCAAAUGAAAAAAAAAAUUUUUUUUAAUUCAUGCAUUCUGAUUUUAAAAAUAAGCAACUUUAUUGAGAUAUAAGCAGGCCACAGGACUCAUCCGUUCAAGCAACUCGGUGUUUUUAGCAUAUUCACAGGAUUGUGCAACAUCCCUCUGAUUUUAAAUCCAUUCUGAAAGAAGCCUAACUUGUUUUAAUGAUUUUUGUCUGCAGUGCUAGUGGAGCAGAUGUAUAAAUAGGUUUAAGCAAGAAAAGGUCCCCUGAGCAAAAAGAUAAUCUUCCUCCAGCCAGGACAUGCCCGGGAGAGUUCUGAGGAAGGCUCUGUAUCACUUGCAACUUCUCCCGCUUCCCCCGGGAUCCUGUCGGCAGUCCCUUCCUCUCAUGUCCAGUAAUCAACCCACACAAAGCCUUUGGACAGAAACUAUGCAUUAAAAACUUCAACUGAAAAACAAACUCGAAGAACCAAAGUGAUUACAAACCUGGGGUUGUAAUGCAAGCUGUCCCUUAACUAGAGCAUUUACAACUAUGAACACUAUAAUUAAAGGGCUUAGGGUGCAGCAGAGGUUGCUUUGUUCAAUAUUGUUUCACCUGCCAUUAAAAUGAGAACAAAAUUGCUUUGAUAAGUGGAUUAAAA